This is a long non-coding RNA of Jaculus jaculus (lesser Egyptian jerboa), 6186 nucleotides long. RefSeq lists it as uncharacterized. The transcript has 4 exons. The record is from RefSeq and is a predicted model, not a curated record. NCBI's taxonomy places the organism in Eukaryota, Metazoa, Chordata, Mammalia, Rodentia, Dipodidae.
AGAGGAGAAACCUGCGGCCGCUCUCGCUCUUUGUCUGCUCGGGGCUCGGAACAAAGGGGCGCGGGAUGAACUCUCGCCUCCCCGCCCCGGACGCCCGGCAUCUCCCUCUGGUAACUUUGCGGACGGGACGUUCUCCGCUGUCAGGCUGCAGAAAACUGUCCAGCGGCCGUCCGGCGGCGACAAUGGAAACAACGUCCCUUGCAAGUGCGAGCAAGUGGGGACGAAAGGCGUUGCUGGAGACUUUUUUCACAUUCUUGGACUGAUUCACUCAUUACAAGACAAAUGGAACAUCAAACUAACUGCACUGCUAAUGGCUGGAUGAAACACCUACAUAGUUUUUUAACUUCUUGAAGUUGGGAUUCUGUAUGGUGUGAGCUACAUUACGUAGCUUAGAAUGUUCAUGUCAGAAGAAAAUAUAUUAAGACAACGAGGAGUGGCUUGGAGCUAACCUUAAGUAGUUGCAAUUGUACAGGUGUCAUUAUCAUCAGAAUCGCUGGUUGCUGGUCCGAGGACUUCCUAGCAUGGCUUUCUGCAUCCUGCAUUGUUCUGUGGAGCUGCGUAUAUCAGCCAGGGACAAGGAACAGCAAGUCAAUACUGGCUGGGUAGCCAUCAGCUUCUUCAUUUGGAGUUACUUGAGAGAUACACUGUUAGCAUUUUUGAUGGUGUUUUCCUUAUGUGGAUUACUACAGCUGGAUGACUGGAAGUUCUUCUCCACCUUGUGAAGCUUCCUGUACUAGUGUGAUGUCACCCUCAUGCCUUUGGGACACCCCGUAUUUCAUUUUGCAAAUGGAAACUCCAGAAGAAACAAUUGUAUGCAGAGAGGGCGUUUCAGGACCUCCAGGUCUGAGCCUGAGGCUCUGAAUUCCAGUGUUCGCUGGUCACGUGACACCAUGCUUUGCAUCAUGGGACACACCUGCCUUUUAUGAAACACAUGGGCGAGACACUCAUCGAAUUUCAAGAAGGGUUGGCUUUACCACCAGCAAGUCAAAAUGAUCAACCGUGCCCCUCAGGAAUGCCUGUGUUGCAUACCUCAGAAGAUGCACUUAUGGCUUGGUGGUUGGCACGUGUUGUAAUCCUGUUGUUAAUAUGUGACGGCAGUGAGGAGAAAGGGGAGCCUCCAGAGGAACCUGAUCAGCAGGUGGAAAGCCCCAGGUUGGAAAAAUCCUACAGUGCCAACUACCUCCUGACGCCCUUUUGACAGCUACCUGCCCAUCCCGGCAGCAAAGCGCCCUUUCCUGGCCACCGGUGAUGACUGCGGUGCUGGUGGGAGUCCUGGGUGACUUGCCACAAUCCGCUGAGCGCCCCUUCUCAGCUGACACCAUGGCAACAUGGGAAAUGGAGCGGCCAUGUUUUGGUAGGGGCAUUUCCUGCCCAGGUUGGCCAAUUCUCCUGAUUGCUUUCCAUAUUUUUCAUCUCAUUUGUAUGCAUCCAACCAAUUAGGGUCCAACCGCCCCUCCCCUCCAACAUGCCACAGACUCUCAGGCUCCUGAAGCAGGAAGAGACCUGCCGUGUCAUAUGUCUCUGGAGGCGCUUGCGCUGGGGCAGUAGGCUCUACCUGCCUGUGAGAGCAGAGCUGCUUGUGGUGGGGUGCUCAACAUGUAUUCCCACCCUGUCACAGCUACAGGGGUUCUGAGCCACAGGCCCACCACCAACCUUGUAGUUGCAGCCUGCCAUGACCAGGAGUCAGAGCUGGAACCCCCACCUUUGCACCUGGCUGUGACUGAGUCCCCUUUCCCAUCCCACCUAUGUUCCCCUAUGUGUAAACAAAGCCAACCUGGUGUAAAUGAGUCCCCUCAAACACUCCCCAAACCAAAAUGCCACUCAUUUCUGGUUUAUGGAUGGACACAUGAAAUCUAUAUGCAAAAAUACUCCAAAUGGGAGAGAAAAGGAACAUCUUACUUUCUACUAAUAGAAAAAUAAUUAUGGCAGUGAAAGUGUGUAAGAAAAUAUUAAAUAUUAAAGCUAGGUUUUUAUGUUUAAGCAAUGUUUUAAAUUUACAUUUAAAUUUAAUUUACAUUGGAAAUGUAACACAGCAUGGUGCAAUAUUAUCUCUGUAAAACAUAACUUGUGUGGACAAAAAUGUCAUCAGUAGGUAACUGUACAUUAUGACCACCUAAAAUUGUUUUAUUUCCUCUGCACAGGUUUUCCACAUCAAGUAAGCAAUGAUUUCAGAACACCUAAGCUUUAUUAAGGCACUUUAAUGAAUAAAUAUAAGACUGACUUCCUUUGUUCAACUUUAUGUUUUCUGACAUGGUUCAGAUGACUGUAAGAAUUCUAAAACUUCAAAAGGUACCGGUUUAAGUCUGUUCAUACCUGGGAGGCUUUCAUUUUGAAUAUGUAAAUCAGCCCUCAAAGAGAACAGGACAUAUCGUGCCUAGUGUGGUAGGUCCUUUCCCCUUGGUUUCUUUGUUUCAUGUGUACAUGUUUGUAUACAUGUGUGUGAAUGCAUGUGUAUGUGUGAGUGUGUGUGUGAGCACAUGCAAACAUGUGGGUGUGUGAGUGUAUGUGUGCUUGUGAGUGCAUGUGUACAUGUGUGAGUGCGUGUUAGGUCACAAGUCCAUGUCGGGUGGACUCUAUUGUUCACCAUGUUACUCUAGGAGGCAAGGUGUCUCACUGACCCUGGAGCUCAUUGACUCAGCUGGAGUGGCUGUCUAGCUUGCUUCAGGAAGCUUCCUGUUUCUGUCUCCCCAGCGCUGGAAUUACAGGUUUGCACCAUCACCCCUGCCAUUUUGUAUGGGUACUGGGGAUCUGAACUCAAACCUUCAGCAUGAGUGGCAAGCACUUUACUCGCUGAACCAUCUUCCCAGUCUUCUCUGACUUUGUAAAGUAUGGCUAGAUCAAGCUAUAGCAUAGGUCUGGAUCUUUCCAUUCUUGUUGUACCCACGUCAUCCAGUCUUAUCUCGCCAUGGACAGGCUAGGUGAAGAACAUGGUGUGGGAGGGGAUAAGUAAUUUGACACUGGCUGAUCACAUUUUCUGGCUUCAGUUGAAGAGCUGAACACCUCUUUUGUGGUUCUGGGGAAGGAAUUAAAGUGACAGAGUUUAUGUUCAGUAUCUGUGAAUCAACUCUUUGAAAAGAAAGAUCAUUUGUUCUCCCAGGUUCUUCUCCAGCACAUGUGGAGGGCCAGUGCUCAAUGCAUAAGUGCUGGCGGAGUUCCGGAGAAGUGGACACUCUCCUCAGGCCUCCCACCUCUCACUAUCCGUGGUACCUUUCUGCCAUCACCACAGUUUUUGGAAAACUCUGGUAAAGCCACAUGCAUUUGAUACAUCUUAUACCCAAAAUAAUUUGUUUUCAUUUUGUUUUGUUUGCAAAUAUUUUCCCCAUCUAUCUGUGUGGCCUCCUCUCUCCAGCCAGUAAGGCAUAUUUACUAUUGUUGGCAAAUCCUAGCCCAGAAGCCAAACCGUUCUGAAUACACCUACAGUGGGUGGCCCAUUCUCUUGGUCUCCCCUUUCAUGGCCCUUCUCCCCUCCACCAUCAAUGGCCGCUAGACCCCCUUGCUGUGCACAGCACGUCAGAGCCUGGCAUGUCUUCGGAUGUGGAAUGUCCUUUGUUCUAAUGGAGGAAGUGCAAGCCUGGAGCAGGCAUGCGGCUGCUUGGAUGGAGUAUCAGGGCAGGUGGGGUAUAGCAUGCUGGUGUCAUGUUGGUGGCAAUCACGAUUCCCUGCUUGCAUCUUUGAGCUCCCAUGGACCUGAGAUGAAGCUUAUUUCCAGAUGACUCUGACAGUCCUUUCCCCUGACACCAGUCAUUAAGAGAUUAGGUUUCUUGAAGUAUCAGCAUUUGUUGGCCUCCUGGCUGAGCAGGCUAAGGCAAAAGAGGUUUCAGAAUAGAUGUUUUUAGCAUUGAAGAGGUGCUGAGUUUUAAAAACAAGCAUUUCACUGUGUGACAUGUUCUUCUGCCUACCGUGAAGGGACAGCUGUGAUUCUAAACCAUAUUUACGGUCAAGGGCAUCUAGGGGUGUUUGUAAAGGGAGCGAGGAGUUCUUUUGUUUCUUAUUCUAGCUAGUCGUCAUUAUAUGCUAUUUAACUACUUCAGUUGUUAUCCUCUCCUAACCUUUUUAUUUGAAUGGGAUUGGCAAAAUUGCUUUGAGACUUAUACUCUCCUUUAUCGGUGUUUAUCAGAAGAAUAUUUUUUAUGAUACAACUCACUGUGUAGUCCUGCUGGCCUCGAGCUCCUUAGUUAGACCAGGCUGGAUGAAUUUCAAUGAUCCUCUGGCCUCUGCCUCCCCAGCUUUGGUAUGCAAUGCCAUGCCUGGCUCUUAGGAUGAGACUUUGAAGACUUUUUUUGUGAACAAAGGGUUAAUCACAGGAAUUUCUGGAUUUUAUGAGUGAUAGUACAUUUAUUGAAGUGCAUAUUAAUGCCAGAAGAAGGACUGAAGUACGGGUGAGGAUUCAAACCAGUAGUAACAUGUAGGAACAAACUGGAUGCAAACCACAUUCAAACAGAUGGAUGUGACCACUUAUGUCAUCUUCAGUAAGCUUUAGCCACCCCUGUCAGGUAGUUUAACCAAAAAUGGGAUUACAAAGAGCCUGUGCCAAAAUGGAUAACAGGCACUAUACUUUUCUAAUGUUGUUAUCUUGUCUGUAAAUCGCUCCACGGUCAAGCAAUCAUUUUCGUCAGCGUCUUGACUUGUCUGACCAAUUAAACAAACAUGUCUCUGCAGCGAAAGCCUCUUAACUGUGAAGGGCUGGGCUCUGCAGGUAUAAUUAUAAGAAAGAAAAGUCCAUCAUCUGUCUUUUUUUGUUGUGCUAAAAGAAAUAAAUAUCCCAAGUAGAAUAAACUCAUGAUUAAGCAAAGGGAAACAUUUACCUCUUACUCCAAGCAGAUGGCAUCAAUAUCAAUAUGAGGACUUCAUAGAGGCUCUUUUCUUCCUUCUGUGGGAUCUGUGAUUUGAAGUAACAUUGGCAGUCCAACACUAGCUACUCAGACGUAUAAAGGCUAUCUUGAGCUGGAAUAUAAAAACACAUGUAAUAAUUAAUAUAACAGCAGCUCAAAGUGCCUGAGGUCAGUAGUUGGUACAUCAUAGCUGCAUGUAAACAAAGUAUUAGCCAAAAUGACUUUCAAAGGGCCCUAAUUACAUGUGUCUUAACUUAAUCUAGUUGGAUUGAAUGAUACUUUUUAUAUGAAUUUGCUUCAUGCUUACUCUGUUGAUUGCAGUUUCCUUUCUGUGAGAAGAGUGUACAAGGCAGCAAUGGGAAUCAACUUUUUUUAACCAUUUAGUGUUGUGACUUAAUGUAGAAAGGCCAUGGUGUCUUACGGCAGAGAGUCUUCCAUCAGAAGAAUGUGAUGUGUAUAGAGCAGUGUAAGCUUGCUUCUGGUUUGGUUUACAUAAGAAAUUUCUAUACACUGAAGGACAUGAAUGUAAUCGCCUCAUUCUUGAGGGGUGUGUGUAUGUGUGUGUGUGUGUGUGUGUGUGUGUGUGUAUAAUGGUGGGGUAACAUGCAUAUGAAUGAUCCACGUGUCCAUGGAAAUGCAGGCAUAUGCUUGCCAACACACACAUGAGGAAGCCAGAGGACAACUAUAGCUGGUGGUCCUGGCCUUGCUCCUGCUUUGAGGUAGGAUUUCUUGUUCUGUUCUGUUGUUCAAUGCCAUGUUCACUGGGCUAGCUGACCCAUGAGCUGCUGGGUGAAUAACCUGUUUUGACUUCCGUUUCUGCCCUGGAUGCAUGCUGGGAUUCCAAAUGCUAGUGCUCGAGUGUCUGGCUUUACAUGGGUUCUUGGAGUCUGAACUGAGGAACUCACCUUUGUCCCCCAAGCCGUCCCCCAGCCCAGUCCACUGGGUUUUGACGAAUUGUUUCCAGACUCAUAGUGCAGUGGAGAGUGCACUGCCCCCACACUAGUUCAGUCAGUGCCACCUCUCCAGACCUAUAAGUUGCCAUUGUUUUGACCAGCUAUGUGUCCUUGUUCUGUUAGACUUUCCUACCAUAGACCUUCAUGAAAAUUGGAGCUCAUCAUUCCUACUUCUAAUUAGUCAUCUCAACAUUAUAUGUCGUAGAAGUUAUGUAAUAGCUGAUCCUGUGUGUGUGUGUGGAGAAACAAGUGGUCUUGUUUCAAAGAAGAAAACAAUAAAAUUAAUGUUAUUUUAAAGUAGCUAAGUUAGCAAAUACUUAUUAAUCUGAUUUUAAUAAGUUGAAAUCAUAGGCUGGGCAUUGUGGUGUACACCUUUAAUCCCAGCACUCGGAAGGCCAAGG